AGAGUUUGAUCCUGGCUCAGAAUGAACGUUGGCGGCGUGGAUUAGGCAUGCAAGUCGAACGAGUCUCUGGGGGGUAACUCCUAGAGGAAAGUGGCGAAAGGGGCAGUAAUGUAUGGGUAACCUACCUUGAGGUCCGGGAUAGCCAUUCUAACGGAUGGGUAAUACUGGACGGCCUGAGUUGUCGGCAUCGAUAAUUUAGUAAAGGUUACGCCUCGAGAGGGGCCCAUAUGAUAUUAGCUAGUUGGUGAGGUAAUGGCUCACCAAGGCAAAGAUGUCUAGCGGGUGUGAGAGCACGACCCGCGUCAUUGGCACUGAGACACUGGCCAAACUCCUACGGGAGGCUGCAGUCGAGGAUCUUCGGCAAUGGACGAAAGUCUGACCGAGCAACGCCGCGUGUGCGAUGAAGGCCUUCGGGUUGUAAAGCACUGUCGAGGGGAAACAAGCCGUAAGGUUGAGUGACCCCUGGAGGAAGCACGGGCUAAGUUCGUGCCAGCAGCCGCGGUAAGACGAACCGUGCAAACGUUAUUCGGAAUCACUGGGCUUAAAGGGCGCGUAGGCGGGUGAUCAAGUCAAUGGUGAAAUCCUCCAGCUUAACUGGAGAAGUGCCUUUGAUACUGAUUGUCUAGAGGGAGGUAGGGGCAUGUGGAACUUCAGGUGGAGCGGUGAAAUGCGUAGAUAUCUGAAGGAACGCCAGUGGCGAAAGCGAUGUGCUGGACCUCUUCUGACGCUGAGGCGCGAAAGCUAGGGGAUCAAACGGGAUUAGAUACCCCGGUAGUCCUAGCCCUAAACUAUGGGUACUAGAUUGUGGACUUUCAUGGGUUCACAGUCGAAGCAAAAGUGUUAAGUACCCCGCCUGGGGAGUAUGGUCGCAAGGCUGAAACUCAAAGGAAUUGACGGGGGCUCACACAAGCGGUGGAGCAUGUGGC
RNAcentral lists this ribosomal RNA (926 nucleotides) under uncultured bacterium. RNAcentral's name for it is "bacterial SSU rRNA". It matches the Rfam family "Bacterial small subunit ribosomal RNA", at positions 8 to 945 of the family's 1533-position model. The record is from RNAcentral.